Molecule: ribosomal RNA, 565 nt
Filed under: Colletotrichum gloeosporioides
Lineage: Eukaryota; Fungi; Ascomycota; Sordariomycetes; Glomerellales; Glomerellaceae
Description: eukaryotic LSU rRNA
Rfam family: Eukaryotic large subunit ribosomal RNA
Source: RNAcentral
UCAGGCAUUGCCUCAGUAACGGCGAGUGAAGCGGCAACAGCUCAAAUUUGAAAUCUGGCCCCAGGCCCGAGUUGUAAUUUGCAGAGGAUGCUUUUGGUGCGGUGCCUUCCAAGUUCCCUAGAACGGGACGCCAGAGAGGGUGAGAGCCCCGUACAGUUGGACACCAAGCCUUUGUAAAGCUCCUUCGACGAGUCGAGUAGUUUGGGAAUGCUGCUCAAAAUGGGAGGUAUAUUUCUUCUAAAGCUAAAUACCGGCCAGAGACCGAUAGCGCACAAGUAGAGUGAUCGAAAGAUGAAAAGCACUUUGAAAAGAGGGUUAAACAGCACGUGAAAUUGUUAAAAGGGAAGCGCUUGUGACCAGACUUGCGUCCGGUGAAUCACCCAGCUCUCGCGGCUGGGGCACUUCGCCGGCUCAGGCCAGCAUCAGCUCGCUGUCGGGGACAAAAGCUUCAGGAACGUAGCUCUCUUCGGGGAGUGUUAUAGCCUGUUGCACAAUACCCUUCGGCGGGCUGAGGUACGCGCUCCGCAAGGAUGCUGGCAUAAUGGUCAUCAGCGACCCGUCUUGA